This is a long non-coding RNA of Rhincodon typus (whale shark), 640 nucleotides long. RefSeq lists it as uncharacterized. The record is from RefSeq and is a predicted model, not a curated record. The transcript is spliced from 3 exons. NCBI's taxonomy places the organism in Eukaryota, Metazoa, Chordata, Chondrichthyes, Orectolobiformes, Rhincodontidae.
AACUUAUACUUUAAACUACUGAGAAUAACAUUCCCCUUUAUAGUUAAUACACAUCACUCUCCACAGACUUAGAGUCUUUCCAGAAAAUAGUUCAUAAAUUCUCCAAACAUCUAAUGGGUUUUUGCAAAUUGGUCAUUCCAAGUGACUAUUACCAGGCAAGUUUCUUCUUUUAGAGAGAUUCUUAAAUCUGUCACUGGCAGUAAGGCCUUUCUCCGUAAUUGUUCCUUUCUGAUGAUGCCAGAACGAAUUUCCAAAAAUGGAAAUAAGGAGGGAGCAAGGUAAACUGACCAUGUAAAGGGCCACUAGGAAUUGGCAGAAACAAGAAGAUCGUGCCCUUCAGCAACGAAAAACCACAAGAUAAAUAGACAUGGAGGUGUGAAGAAUUAAGUAGCAUUUAAGCACCACAGUCAACGUUUUAAAGAAUUGACAUCUUUUACCAAGAUUGCAGUCUGGCUUUUGAAAGUUAAAAAAAACAAACUGAGCUUAUUUCCAAGAUCACAAGGUAAUUACGGAUUUGGACAGAUAUUUCAUUCACCCAGAUCCAAUAGAACCCAACUGAUUCCAGUUAUAGAGUCAUAGAGAUAUACAGCACGGAAACAGGCUCUUCAGUCCAACUCGUCUGCACCGACCAGAUAUCCUA